CAAUCAGAAGCAUGCCUGUAGGUAGCCUAAAUUCAUUAGGGCAAUAUUAUAUUUUCAAAGCAAAGGUAGGCUGUAUCGAAUUAACUUAAAUUAAUUACAAAGCCUUUGCAGCAACAACGCCUAACUCAUUUACCCUAGAGGCUAUACACUGCAUGUUUAAUGAAAUAAAAAAAGACUAUAAAAGACUAUAAUCUACUGCCCUAAUCAUAGAAAUGUAUUGAAAUAUAAUUGCCCACAUUAACAAUAUAAUGUAUUGAAAUAUUACAGCCUAUUUUAAUAAAUAUAAUGUGCCUAUAUUAAUUAAUAUCAAAGCCUAUGAGUACCCUCCAGUUCCACUAUGCCUGCAUGCUCCAGGACCAGGUGGGAGUCGAUUCAGAAAGUAAACCACAUUUGAAUUUCACUGCAUGCGACACUGUAAAUGGAUUUUAAAAAGUCGCUCAGGAAAAUAUGAAUUUGUCCUUUUAAAACUACUUGUAACACAAAUUAUGUCUGUGAUAUAAAGUUUCUAAUGACAUGUGGAUUACAUUGAUUAGUUUAGGAAAAUUGGAGGGGACCUGAACAAUAAAAAAAAAAACUCAGAUUUGAAAUGAAGUUUCAGUCACAUUGAGUAUCUUGGCCUAUUUUGGCAGGGUCAUUCUAAUUAUAAUUUUAGCGUACUUCAUGAAAAGACUGGAAUUCAACUGAAUGCUUUCCAUUUUUAGAAUGGGUUCCAUGGGAAUGACAUGUCCUCUAGAUUUAACAGGGAGGUCGAUUUAACAGGGAGGUCGAUUUAACAGGGAGGUCGAUUUAACAGGGAGGUCGAUUUAACAGGGAGGGUGAUUUAACAGGGAGGGUUGAUUUAACAGAGAGGUCGAUUUAACAGGGAGGUCGAUUUAACAGGGAGGAUGAUUUAACAGGGAGGGUGAUUUAACAGGGAGGAUGAUUUAACAGGGAGGAUGAUUUAACAGGGAGGUCGAUUUAACAGGGAGGAUGAUUUAACAGGGAGGAUGAUUUAACAGGGAGGUCGAUUUAACAGGGAGGUCGAUUUUUACGUUUUAUAUAUUCACAAACGUCUCUGUAUGCAAGUCUUUAUGUGCACAAGAAAUGUAAAAACAAACCAAACAUACACCUCAGCACAAAAUAAAGACUAAUGAAACAGAA
Long non-coding RNA from Esox lucius (northern pike), 1140 nucleotides. NCBI's taxonomy places the organism in Eukaryota, Metazoa, Chordata, Actinopteri, Esociformes, Esocidae. The record is from Ensembl.